GACGAACGCUGGCGGCGUGCUUUAGGCAUGCAAGUCGAACGCGAAAGCCCCUUCGGGGGUGAGUAGAGUGGCGAACGGGUGAGUAACACGUGGGUAACCUGCCCCUCGCAGGGGGAUAACCGGGGGAAACCCCGGCUAAUACCCCGUACGCUUGCUGGGGCGCAUGCUCCGGCCAGGAAAGGUAGCUUCGGCCAUCCGGCGAGGGAGGGGCCCGCGGCCCAUUAGCUAGUUGGGGGGGUAACGGCCCACCAAGGCGACGGUGGGUAGCUGGCCUGAGAGGGGGGUCAGCCACACGGGGACGGAGCCACGGCCCAGCCUCCUACGGGAGGCAGCAGCCAGGAAUCUUGCGCAAUGGGCGAAAGCCUGACGCAGCAACGCCGCGGGGGCGAUGAAGGCCUUCGGGUCGUAAAGCCCUGUUGUCGGGGACGAAGGGCGAAGGGUUAAUAGCCCCUAGCCUGACGGUACCCGACGAGGAAGCCCCGGCUAACUACGUG
RNAcentral lists this ribosomal RNA (494 nucleotides) under uncultured bacterium. Its description in RNAcentral is "partial 16S ribosomal RNA". It matches the Rfam family "Bacterial small subunit ribosomal RNA", at positions 28 to 507 of the family's 1533-position model. The record is from RNAcentral.